Long non-coding RNA from Dendroctonus ponderosae (mountain pine beetle), 217 nucleotides. RefSeq lists it as uncharacterized. The transcript is spliced from 2 exons. Lineage: Eukaryota; Metazoa; Arthropoda; Insecta; Coleoptera; Curculionidae. The record is from RefSeq and is a predicted model, not a curated record.
AGACCUAACAAUUAAUUAUGAUAACAACGGGGAAAUCAAAACAAAUUGGUACACAAAGGAGGUAUGGUCUGGUAGGUACCUGAAUUAUCAAUCGUACGUUCCAAUGAAUUAUAAAAGAAGUGUAAUAACGGCACUUACAGAUAGAGCCACUCAAUUGUCACAUUGGGAGUAUAGAACAAAAAAUCUUGAAAAAAUAAAAAAUAUAUUAUUAAUAAAC